AUUUAAGCAAAACAGUUAACUUCUCUGAAAGAUUUUCCUGAUCUGUAAAACGGGAGUUCAACGGCUGACUUGCAGGGUUUCUGUGUAGAUCAGAGAUGCAUUAAUUUCCCAGGGUAGGGUCUAGCAUGCAGUUGAUGUUCCACUGUCCUUUUCAUUACAGAUGGGAGCAAGCCAACAGAUAGCAAUAGACUCCUGGGAAGUGAAUGCUGACUAGCAUGAGGUGGGAAGACACCCCAGAGAAAAUAUUAUCUACUUCUGCUCAAGGAAAACUGGCAACAUCAAAAAUACAUACUGUGCAGGGAGAGGGGGAAGAUGGCGGAAGAGUAAGACGUGGAGAUCACCUUCCUCCCCACAGAUACAUCAGAAAUACAUCUACACGUGGAACAGCUCCUACAGAACACCCACUGAACGCUGGCAGAAGACCUCAGACCUCCCAAAAGGCAAGAAACUCCCCACGUACCUGGGUAGGGCAAAAGAAAAAAGAAUAAACAGAGACAAAAGAAUAGGGACAGGACCUGCACCAGUGGGAGGGAGCUGUGAAGGAGGAAAGGUUUCCACACACUAGGAAGGCCCUUCUCGGGUGGAGACUGUGGGUGGCGAAGGGGGAAAGCUUCGGCGCCGCGGCAGAGAGCGCAGCAACAGGGGUGCGGACGGCAAAGUGGAGAGAUUCCCACACAGAGGAUUGGUGCUGACCAGCACUCACCAGCCUGAGAGGCUUCUCUGCUCACCCGCUGGUGCGGGCGGGGGCUGGGAGCUGAGGAUCCGGCUUCGGUCGGAGCGCAGGGAGAGGACGGCGGUUGGCAGCAUGCACACAGCCUGCAGGGGGUUAGUGCACCAUGGCUAGCCUGGAGGGAGUCAGGGGAAAGUCUGGACCUGCCGAAGAGGCAAGAGACUUUUUCUUCCCUCUUUGUUUCCUGGUGCACGAGAAGAGGGGAUUAAGAGCACUGCUUAAAGGAGCUCCAGAGACGGGCACGAGCCGAGGCUAUCAGGGCAG
Molecule: long non-coding RNA, 994 nt
Filed under: Delphinapterus leucas (beluga whale)
Lineage: Eukaryota; Metazoa; Chordata; Mammalia; Artiodactyla; Monodontidae
Description: lncRNA (ENSDLEG00000013170.1)
Source: RNAcentral